UUUAGUGGAAGGAGACGUCAUAAUAAGGUUUUCGUAGGUGAACCUGCAGAAGGAUCAUUGUCGAGGCCCAUCGAGCAGUGAGACCCGCGAACUGAUGACCCUAACGAGACGCGGGUGGCUCGGGGAGUGCAGCUCCUCCCGCUCUCCCGGGGGACCACGCGGCGAACCACCCCCGGCACAAUGGGCGCCAAGGAAUUGAGUUGGAAUGAGCGCGGCUCCCUUCGGGGAUGCCAGUGCGUGUUUGAAACUUACAUGACUCUCGGCAACGGAUAUCUCAACUCUCGCAUCGAUGAAGUAUGUAGCAAAAUGCAAUACUUGGUGUGAAUGGUAGAAUCCCAUGAACCAUCAAGUCUUUAAACGCAAGUUGCGCCUGAGCCCACCCCGCUAAGGGCACGCCUACCUGGGCGUCAUGCACUGUGCUACCCCACUUGGUGCUCGACCCAUUCGGCGGUGGUGCCGCGGGGUGGAGACUGGACACCCACGCGUGACCGACUGAAAAGCAUUCGCUCCCCGGCUGGGGAGCAGAUGCUAUGGAAAGUAGUUUAAGAGGCGGCUGCCUCGUCAGAGCCUGCACGCCGCGUCCGUCGCAAGCAGAGAGAAGUGACACACAACUCGCCCGCCCCGAGCGGCCUUGGCACAGCGACCCCAAGUCAGGUGGGGACACCUGCUGAGUUUAAGCAUAUC
Molecule: unclassified non-coding RNA, 684 nt
Filed under: Magnolia crassipes
Lineage: Eukaryota; Viridiplantae; Streptophyta; Magnoliopsida; Magnoliales; Magnoliaceae
Description: partial contains small subunit ribosomal RNA, internal transcribed spacer 1, 5.8S ribosomal RNA, internal transcribed spacer 2, and large subunit ribosomal RNA
Rfam family: 5.8S ribosomal RNA (bases 255-410)
Source: RNAcentral